RNAcentral lists this ribosomal RNA (253 nucleotides) under uncultured bacterium. RNAcentral describes it as "partial 16S ribosomal RNA". It matches the Rfam family "Bacterial small subunit ribosomal RNA", at positions 524 to 776 of the family's 1533-position model. The record is from RNAcentral.
UACGGGGGGGGUAAGCGUUGUUCGGAAUUAUUGGGCGUAAAGAGCUUGUAGGCGGUUUGUCGCGUCUGCUGUGAAAUUUCGGGGCUCAACCCCGAACUUGCAGUGGGUACGGGCAGACUAGAGUGUGGUAGGGGAGACUGGAAUUCCUGGUGUAGCGGUGAAAUGCGCAGAUAUCAGGAGGAACACCGGUGGCGAAGGCGGGUCUCUGGGCCGAUAUUGACGCUGAGGAGCGAAAGCGUAGGGAGCGAACAGG